This 468-nucleotide ribosomal RNA is filed under the name uncultured bacterium. Its description in RNAcentral is "partial 16S ribosomal RNA". It matches the Rfam family "Bacterial small subunit ribosomal RNA", at positions 28 to 507 of the family's 1533-position model. The record is from RNAcentral.
GACGAACGCUGGCGGCGUGCUUAACACAUGCAAGUCGAACGGAAUGGCCCUGCUUUUGUGGGGUACUCGCAUGGCGAACGGGAACGUAUAACGAGUGACACCAGAUCUUGACUCUGGGCUACCGUCAGGAAACUGGGGUCAAUUACGGACAGGACCUCCUACUGCAUGGUGGGGAUUCGAACGUUUCGGCGGUUGGGGAUGGACUCGCGGCUUAUCAGUUUGUUGGUGGGGUAGUGGCUUACCAAGGCUUUGACGGGUAGCCGGCCUGAGAGGGUGACCGGCCACAUUGGGACUGAGAUACGGCCCAGACUCCUGCGGGAGGCAGCAGUGGGGAAUAUUGCACAAUGGGCGGAAGCCUUAUGCAGCAACGCCGCGUGCGGGAUGACGGCCUUCGGGUUGUAAACCGCUUUCGCCUGUGACGAAGCGUGAGUGACGGUAAUGGGUAAAGAAGCACCGGCUAACUACGUG